Molecule: long non-coding RNA, 15605 nt
Filed under: Vitis vinifera (wine grape)
Lineage: Eukaryota; Viridiplantae; Streptophyta; Magnoliopsida; Vitales; Vitaceae
Description: long non-coding RNA (VVIN_LNC005874)
Source: RNAcentral
UAUAAUUCACUCUUUUAUUCAUGAUUGAGGAAAAAUUUACAAGAGAAAGACCAUAUUUGUAUAUAUAUAAUAGAAACUUGUAAACCAAUACCAUAAAGGUUCCAAGAGAACCUUGUACAUCUAUAGCAAACCAAUACCAUAAGAACCUUAUACAUCUAUUGCAAACCAAUACCAUAAAGGUUUCAAGAGAACCUUGUACAUCUAUAGUCUUAUAUAUGAUUUUGAUAUAUAGUAUAGAUAAUUAUAUCAAACUUAUAUUUGAGUAUCAUCUACGCUUGUUACCAUCAUCCAUGCUUUUUUGAAAUGUUGAUAUGUAAACCAUUUCCAAAUGUCAAAACUGGAGAUCGAGCUAUCUGUCCUUCCUUGAUCUUCGUCAACCUUUCCAAUUUGAGAUUCUAAGCAGUCAAUUUCAUUCUAUUCAUGUCAUGCAUGGAAUAUAUGUAUCAAAUUAAAAUGAAAAUAUUACCUGUAAUUAGUGACCAAAACAUGGAAAAAUGUUGUCAUUAGAACCUUAGCAAACUCUGCUCCUAUGCAUAAUCUUGAUCCACCUCCAAAUGGUAUGAAAUUCUUUGCUACAACACCAACUCCCAUAUCCUUUUGAAAAGGAAAACAAAAUAAAUAAAUAUUAUCAUUGUCGUAUUUUAGAUAUUAUCUGAUUUUACCAAAUUCACUUUACAACUUUAAAAGGUAUUGUGCACAUUUUAAAAUUCUUUUCACAUCCUAAGCAAUUUCAGAUUCUACACAAAGCUAAGGCGGUGUUUUGAUGCAUCUUCUAUUUUUUUACAAGUAAAAAAAUAAUAAGAACUCUAUACAAAUGGUAGAAACUUGCUUUAAAAAUUAUAUAUAUAUAUAUAUAUAUAUAUAACUAUUUAAAAGCUACCUCAAACUUUAGAAAAAUUUGCUAAAUAAAAUUAUUUUUGGUUUCUAAAAUCAGAAAACUAGAAAUGCAUCCAAAUGACACCUAAACACUUCAUUAAAUUUGUAUAUAUCAUAUACCUUCCAUCGUUUUGGUUUGAAAGCAAGGGAACGUCCCCACAGAUCGAAAAUGAUAUAUUAAGAAAAAAUUAGUAUAUACCUUCCACCGCCAUGGAUUGAAAGUAAGGGGAUCAACAAAAGUAUCAGGGUUUAGUUGAAGAGCUGCAGGAACAACCAUGAUUGUCCAGCCUGCUGGAAUUGUAUAUCCUGCACAUUUUAUAGGAUCCAUUUAAUUCAAAUGCAUGCAUAUGCUUGGUAAAAAUCAUAUAAUAUACAACUUUAAAUCCAUAAAAUUUCAUAUUUACACUUACCAUUUACUUGAAUGUCUUUUAUUGCCCUUCUCAAAAUCCCUGGAGCAACACUUCCUAACCUAAGAACUUCAUUGAUAACCUAUAUUUUCACUUGGUCAAAUAGUUUGCACAAAUUUAUAUUAGCUUAUGCGUAUGGGUACUAAAAAAUUAUCAACUUACUUGAUGAGUAAAAGUCAUUGACUUAUAUUCCUUCCAUGAAAUUCCAGAAUUUGGAUCUUCCCUAUUUUUAAGGAUUGCCUCAUGCUCCUCCUGCAAUAUAUAUAAUUAAAUAAAAGGUUUGAGUCCACUAGGGUCAUCGAUGAAAACAUGAUAACAGAAAGAUUGAAAGAUUGUUAAAUAAUUAUCACUUACAAUUAGUUGUUGCAUUACUAAGGGGUGUUCUAUGAGUAACUUAAUAGCUAAGGUUAAAGUAGAGGAAAUUGUCUCAAAACUAGCAAAUAGAAUCCCGAACAUAACGAAAACGACAAAGUCAUCCGAUAGGAACUUUUCUUUCUUCAUAUCAUCAAUCAUCUGAUCAAGAAAAUCCCCUUGAAGAGUUUUAGGCGAAGCUUUUUUCUCUUUUAAUGCAUCAUGAAUCAACUUCAUUAUCUCCUUUUGGUCCUGAAAUGUAAUUUAUAUGAAAUUAAUUAAACUAAAUAUACAAAAAAAAAUUAUAAAUUUAAAAGUUUUAAAGUACAAUAAAAAAGAGUUUUAGAAUUACCUUUAGACAUUUAUGGAAAGUUGUACCCGGGAUAUUCAAAGGAAAUGACAUAAGAACAUGUAUGAUGUUGGUAAAUUUUUCACUAAAAUGUGCUCCCUUCGUCUCGAAGUCAUAACCAAACAAUAUGGUUGCAGUAAAAUCAAAUAUCAUCUGUGUAAGAACCAUCAAUCAAGUAAAUAUUAAAAAAAAAAAAUCAACUUUUUUUUAUCAUAAAGUUUAUUAUUAUUGAUCUUUUUUGCUCAAUUAACUAGGUUUAUAUUAUCACAUAAUCUUGUUAAUAACCUCAAUGAAUAUUUAAUAUGAACAAUCUAUUUUAAUAUAAAAUAAUGCUAUUUUUUCAUUAUUUUUAAUUAUUUAAAUUAUAAGUGAUAAUUAGAUAUGUUAAAAAAAUAGUUCAUAUAUAUUAAAUACAAAAGUUUUGACGUUCUAUUAUCACUUGCCACUUUUUCUAUCCUCUUAUUAAGGCGAGAGGUUAUAAAAGAGGGAAAAGUGGGUUUUUCCCACUUUAUAACAAGAAGGGAGAUCAGACAAGGGGUUGAAUUAAAGCUUGAUAAAUUACCGAUGAAACGCAUGAUUUGAAUUCCAAGGCAGGCAACUUGGACCAAUCAUGUAGCCUUGUACGUAUCAUAUCUUCAGCCUUGGCAAGGAGUCUGCCUUUCAGGGCCUCGGUACCAAAAUGAGCCAACGCCAAGUUCCUAAGAUACUUGUGAACAUAACCAGUUGCAGCAAUAGACUGUGAAGUAUCCAGGCCGACAAGCUUUGCAAUGGAGUCCAUGUACCAUAACUCCACCAACUUCCCUUCUUGUUGGAAUAUAUAGUAGUUGAAGUCUGGGUCCGAUGACACCACCACCGGUCGUCCUGCCAAAUUUGUACAGAACAAUGGACCGUAUCUAAAACACAUAAAACAAAGAAAGAAAUAAUAAAUUUUGUUAAUAACCAGUACCAACAGUAUACUGUAGGUUUCAAAACAAAUUAAUCUUAAUCAUAUGAUUUGUAUACUUGCUUACUUUUUCAUCCUCUUCUUGAUGAAACUCGAAACGUCCAACGACUUGCUUGGGAUGAAAAACUGGAUGGUCUCUCCAAUGAUUGGGAAUCCCAUUGAACCUGGAGGGAGUUUGCCAUUGCAUUUAGGAUUCCUCCAUUUGUAAACCCAGUGAGUUAUGCUUGCUAUAAACAAGCUUACAACACAGAGCCAAACAGACCAGUACAUGAUCUUAAUUAAGCUUACUAAAAGUGGAAUAGAAAGUACGUAAAAAACUAAGUUUAUAUAGGAAAAGUGGAUGGGACCUGUGAUUGUCACUGACUCACAGAAGUAGGAGCAUUUCUCUACCGAAUGAUUCAAAUGUUAUUUAUUAUCAGUCGAAGUGUUAGGAGAGGAUUGCUACUCACCAUGACUUUGAAUAAAUGAAUGUUUUGACUGUCAUAGAAGAAGAUAAUGACAUCUUAUUGUCUGAAGAUCACUUAUCCAUCUCCGUGCAUAUUAAGUAAUAGAUAGUGCCAUUUUAAUAAAUUCUUUGAAUUCUGGGUGAGACUCGAUUGUGAAUGGAAAGUCCAUUAAAAUCUUGAGACUAUCAAGCAUCACACCCCAAAUUAGAUUAGGACGGUGUUUUUUCUUUUAUUGAAUAGAAAAAGUCAUCCGCUAAAAGUAACAUUUUGAUAUCAUCCAAUAUAACUAAAUUGAACCUAUUGAUAAUAAAUUUACUUUAAUUAUAUUGAUUGAUAUCAAUAUAUUACUUUUAACUUAAUAAAAAAGCCAAAAUAUAAACAUCAUGCACUUACAUCCCAAGCUUUAGGUCAAUGAUAAGUCACUCAAAACAAAUUUUCUAAAGACUUGUUUUGAAUUAUUUUUUGUUUUUCAGAGUAAAUUGUCAUAAUUUUUUGAAAGUUUUUACAAGAAGAGGUGUUUUUCGAUUUUUUUUAAUUAAAUUCUUUGUUAAAUCAUAAAAUUAUUUCAACAAAUUAUAAAGAAAUCAUUAUUGAGAAUGUGUCUUAAGGUCCAUUGCAAAUUAUUUCUAAGAAUAUUUUUUUUCUCCUAAAAUAAACAGGAAAACAUGUUUGUUAAUUAGAAGAUAGUAAACAAUUUUUAUUCUUAAAAAUAAAAAAUAGAGUAUUUUUAAAUAACAUCUCUUGGUUAUUUUUACUUAUUUUCUUAAAGUUGUUUUAAUUAAUAAUUAUACAAAUAUGAAAAAUGAUUAAGAAUAAAACAUUACAUAUAAAAAUUAUUUUUAAAACAUAUUUAAAAACAUUUUAAAUUGUUAAACAAAUUUUUAUUUUACAAAACAUUAUAAAAUAAUUUUUAAAACUAUUUUCGAAAACGGUUACCAAACAUAGCAUAAUCUUUUCCUUUGCUUUCUUUGUUGCAUGGUGGUGGAUGAGGCAAGAACUUCUCACGCAAGUAAAUUGGCCAUUUGAGAAAAAAUAAUAAAAAUAAUAAAAAAAUCUCGUGAGUGUUUAUGUGAGCUCCCAUAUCAUAAAAGAGCCAAGGAAAUUUUCAUAGAGGAACAAAUUGUUGUGUAUUUUUUCAAUACGUUACAAUAUGUACACAGAGAAUCAGAUAGAAGUCAAAGGAAAUGAAUAUGAAAAUGUUACUAAUGGGGAUAUUGUACUUUAACCGGAGCAUCUGGAAUUAGGGGAUUUGAUGGAUUUGAUUUCACUUGAAUGAGUGAAUCAUGAGAUGGCAUUGACUAGGUUGGGAGUCUGGGACCAUUUGUUGCUGUCUCUGAUGCUUAAAGUCUAGCUCUAAUAUUCAAACCUUUUACCCAUUCUUUGUUUGCUUAUCUUUUCAUCACAUGAUGAAUAUUUAAGCAAAGUAGAAAAUCACACAUGUAAUUGUCCACCACACAUUUCCACUAGUUUUAACGUCAAUAGUAAUUAGAAGGAGAAAAAAAUGGUAUGGCUUUUGAUCUAAUUUGGCUUUUCUAGAGGAUGUUGACCAUACAUAAAUAUUUUUUUGGGCAUUCUCCUGCACUUCAAUGCUAAGAAGAUUAUAAUAAUUAAAAAUGUCACAUACUUAUCCCUAUAAAGAAAUCUUUCAUUUUAAUUUGUCAUAAAAGACCAUUGUGACAUUUCAACUGUAUGAUCAUAUCCUCGCAACAAUUCAUAUCAUUUAUUAUUCUAUCAAUAUUCAUAAUAAUGAUGGAUGUAUAUUUGACUUGUUGACAUAAAGCCUAACAUAAGUCUAUCCAAAAAUUUCAUGCCUAAUCUAAUCUUAGCUUGAAUCAACCUACAAGUUGAUCCUAGAUUGGCACAAGAACUAAAACUCAAGAGAAAUCCAUAAAUAUUAUACAUGAAAUGAGAUUUGAACCAUUGGAAAAAAUGAAAAUUUGUCAUUCUAUUCAUCAAAACAACUCUUGCAAAAUUUUCAUUGGUAAAUGUAACUAUAGUUAACAUAUGAUUGAGGUUAGGCUUAUUAAAUCACUGGCACACCCUAAAGGCGUAACUAGGCUUACUUAGAGAAGGUUUGACCCUAACUCGAACUUUCAUCAAGAGGGUUCAAGCAUGAACCACUUCUACCAUUUGCUUGGCUAAUGACAAUAUUAGUUUAAUAAUAGUAUCAUCCUUUAUUUCAUUUUAUUGAUUAUUUUAUAUUAUAUUAAUCUCAACUUUUAAGAUAUUUUCUCUUUGAUUGUUCACAUUCAUGAUUUUUUCCCCCUCCUAACCUAAAAUAUUUAUAGACAUUCCUGAGAACUUUCUUUAUUAUAUAAAAAAAUCUAAUAUUACAAUAAUAUAUUAACUCAGGAAAUAUUAUAUACAAUAUUCUUUACAAAAAAAAUCUUUACUAAUUAGUAAUUAUUUAUGAUUAAGCUAUCUAUAUAUAUUCAAUUUAUAUUUAUUAAGUAUGGGUCACCUUGUGUGUAGAGCCCAAGUCCCAUGUGUCUUACAUGAUGGGCCUAAGACACAUGUGGCUCAAUAGCCCAAUGGGUAUGGCCCUUAAGGCAUAGAGGAAGUUAAUAAAAAAUAAAUAAAUAAACUGAAGUUUGGUGUCUUUUUAGUUUUCCUUUUGAAAAUACAAAAAUGUUCCCUCUCUUGUCUCCUAUCACAAGAGAGAAAACAGAAAGGUGGUUUCCUCCUCUAUUGCCUUAGAAUAACCAUAUUUCUUCAAGAUCAACAAUGGAUUCAGGUUUGUCUAAUUUCUCUAAUCUAAUCGGCAUGUUUUCUUUUUUAUUUAACAUGAGAUUUCUAGUUUUUGGUUGAUAAAAUAUUUGGUAAUCUUUAAAAAAUGUUCUACAACAAGUGGUAUCCAAGCCACACAUAUUGAAUCAUUAAGAAAUGCACACUAAUUCAAAGUUAUAUGAAAUUUCUCCCAUAUGGCAUAUUAGGGCAAGAAAUUUCUUGACAGAAUUUGGGAAUUUUUCUAGGUUGGGUUCAUUUUCUGAAUCUAAAAAUAAAAAUAAAAUAAAAUUUAAUCAACUAGUGGAGGAACUUGCCAAGGUUUGCGAAUGCCGCCGACUCAUCCUUCUCGUUUUCUACCAAGUGGACCCUUCGGACGUUCGGCAACAGAAAAGACGUUUCCACGAAGAUUUUGGAAACCUGGAGGCAAGAUUUGGAGCAAACAAGGUUUUGAGAUAAAAUAGCUAUGGAAAAGGCCGACGGAAUCGUUGGUUGGGUUUUCAAUGGGUGACCCUUUGUUUUUUUUUUUUUUUUGUUUGCGUUUCACACCAUUUGUCUUCAAUUGGAUCAUGAGACUUUGCGGGAGAAACCGGGAAGAAAUUUAUUUACUUUUAUUUAUCUAAAUUGAUCCAUGGUCUGGGAAGAUAGAUACUUGUUAUGGGUUUCUCAUUUAGGUUUGGUGAAAAACACUAGUAUUUGAGUUAUGGAUUCAUUUUUAGAGAGAGAAACCAUAGUAAAACUCCAGUCCUGGUCUUUCAAUUCAGUUUUUUUUUUUUUAGAAACUCUGCCAAAAUUUGGUCAGAUUCAGUUAAGAGAGAAACCCGACUGAAACCAUAAUUCAGGUUAUUCGCAUAGAGUUUAAAUAAUAAUUGUUAUCAAAGUGACUUCAGUGUAGUUUUUUAAUAUUAAAUAAUGGAUUUAGUCUUUUCUUGCUACAUUUGUGUUUAAUAUUUUAAAAUAAAUGAGUUAUGUAUAUUUGUUGCCAAAGUAACUUAUAUUAUGUAAUUUUAUUUAUUUUGAAAUAUGUAAACAUGUUAUUAUUGUGUAAAAUAAUCGGCUCAAAGGAAUAUUAUUUUAAUAUAAUAAUAAAUAAAGUAGUCAUAAAUGUGUGACUUAUAAAGUCUACCUUGCAUGCUAUAUGUUAGUCCAAAGAAAGGCAUAUUGCUUCAGUUUUAUUGUCAAUAUUUAUGAACUAAUUUUGUAAAAGAAUAUCAAUUAUAAGUUAAUAUUUUUGUCCAAAGACUAAAUAUUAAUAUUUGUGCUAGGUAUCUUGUUAUGGGCCCACAUGCAUGUAUAUAUACGUUAAAAUUUUUGUGACUAAUUAUGAGCUUUAUUGUUAUUGUUCAGCAUCUUCUAUAUCUGCUAAUGUUAAUAACAUUCCUGUGCUUAAUGGUACAAACUUCAAGAAAUGGAAGGAACGCGUUAUGAUUGUGCUCGGGUGCAUGGAUUUGGACUAUGCAUUAAGGGAGGAUCGCCUUGCAAACCUUACUAAUGCCAGCACUGCUAAGCAAAGCGCUACUGUGGAAAAAUGGGAGCGAUCAAAUCGCAUGAGUCUAAUGAUAAUGAAGCACUCAAUUCCAGAAGCAAUAAAUGGUGCAAUACCUGAAAAGUCUCGAGCCAAGACAUUCUUGGACCAGAUAGCAAACUGAUUCACUGCAAAUGAAAAGGUCGAGACAAGCACUAUUUUUAGUAAGCUUGUUUCCAUGCGGUGUAAAGGGAAAGAGAAGAUAAAGGAGUACAUAAUGGAAAUGUCCAAUCUUGUGACUAGACUUAAGGCACUAAAGUUAGAGUUAUCAGAAGACAUACUCGUGCACUUGGUCUUGAUCUCUCUACCUACACAAUUUAGUCCAUUCAAGAUUAGUUACAACACACAAAAGGAAAAAUGGACUCUAGAUGAGCUUAUUUCUCAGUUGUGCAAGAGGAGAAUAGACUGAAACAAGAGAAGAUAGAAAGUGCUCACUUGGCUUCCACAUCUCAGGGACAUGGUACCAACAUGAAAAGAAAAAUGGACAAUAAGGGAAAACAAACUGUAUAUUCUAGAACAUCUGAGCAAAAGGUGCAGAAGAAACAAAAUAAGAAGAUUACUUGUUUCUUUUGCAAGAAGGUUGGUCAUAUGAAGAAGGCUUGUACCAAAUACGCCGUUUGGCGUGAAAAGAAAUGUACACUUCUUAACUUUGUUUGUUCAUAAAUUAAUUUAGCUAUAGUGCCUAUUGACACUUGGUGGAUAGAUACGGGUGCAACUACUCACAUAAGUGUCACGAUGCAGGCUUUCCUAAGGAGUCGAAUGCUAACUAAUGGUGAAAGAUACAUCUAUGUGGGAAAUGGCAAAAAGGCUACAAUGAAGGCUAUUGGUCUUUUUAGAUUAUAGUUAGAUUAUGGUUGUACUUUGGAUUUAGAAGAGACUUUUGUGGUACCAUCAUUUAGACAAAAUUCAAUUUCUAUUUCGUGUUUGGAUAAAUAUGGAUAUUUUUGUUCAUUUGAAAAUGGAAUGGUUAGUCUUUAUCUAAAUUCAAGUGUUAUUGGUACCGGUAGUCUAAUAGAUAAGUUAUACAAAUUGAACAUAAAGGCCUCUAAUGGUAAUGAAACCUUGCAUUCAAGUAAUUAUGACAUUAAGUGAAAGUUAACAAAUGAGAAUUCAUCAAUGUUAUGGCACAGGCGUUUAGGUCAUAUUUCAAAUCAAUGUAUUCAAAGACUUGUGUCAGAAGAAAUUCUUGAUCCACUUGAUUUGUCCUACUUUCAAGUCUGUAUAGAGUGUAUUAAGGGUAAACAAACAAAUUUGAGGAAAAAUGAUGCCAACAGGUGUGGUGACGUCUUAGAAUUGAUACAUACAAACAUUUGUGGUCCAUUUCCUACCCCUUCUUGGAAUGGACAACAAUAUUUUAUCACUUUCAUUGAUGAUUACUCACAUUAUGGCUAUCUUUAUUUGAUUCAUGAAAAGUCUCAAUCAUUGGAUGUGUUCAAGAAUUUUAAAACCGAAAUUGAGAACCAACUAGGCAAGAAAAUAAAGGUCGUUAAAUCUAAGCGUGGGGGUGAAUAUUAUGGUAGAUAUGACAAAUCUAGUGAACAACGUCCAGGGUCAUUCGCCAAAUAUUUGAUGGAGUAUGGUAUCAUCCCUUAGUACACCAUGCGGGGAGCUCCAAGCCAAAAUGGUGUAGCAGAAAGGUGAAAUUGUACUCUUAUGGAUAUGGUAAGGAGUAUGAUCAGUAAUUCCACCUUGCCAGAAUCACUUUGGAGCGAAGCUGUCAAAAUUGCAGUUUACAUUUUGAACAGAGUCCCAAGCAAAGCAAUAGCCAAAACCCCAUAUGAGUUAUGAACUAGCAAGAAGCCUAGUAUUAGGUAUUUGCAUGUCUGGGGUUAUCUAGCUGAGGCUAGGCCUUACAAGCCAAAUGAGAAAAAAAUUGGACUCUAGAACUGUGAGCUGCUACUUUGUAAGGUAUUCUGAAAGGUCAAGAGGUUUCAAGUUUUAUGAUCCCUCAAUUAGGUCUUUCUUUGAAACGAGCAAUGCUAAGUUUAUUGAGGAUGUUGAGUUAAGUGGGAGAGAGCCAUUAAGAAAGGUGGUCUUUGAAGAGGAGUCUAUUAGUAUUUCUAUUAUUGCAACUAGACAUGGUCAUAUUAUAUUUGAUGACACUAUCCAGAAUGUACAACCAAUAACAGAGACUAUAAACACACUUGAAAUUCCUCCUACUCAAGUUGAGGAACCAAUUCAAGUUCAUGAAGAGGUAACUCAACAACCUCAAGUACAAGUGCCAUUGAAAAGAUCCACUAGAGAAAGGAAAAGUACAAUUUUAGAUGAUUAUAUUGUAUAUCUCCAAGAACAUGAGUUGUGAAAUGGGUCUGGAAUAUGAUCCAAUUUCAGUUAGUCAAGUCAAACAAAGUUCUAAUUCUGAAAAGUGGAUAGAAGCCAUGAAGGAUGAGAUGAAAUCAAUGAAAGACAAUGGUGUUUAGGACCUAAUAUAGUUGCUUAAAGGUGUAAAACUAAUUGAUUACAAAUGGAUUUUUAAGACCAAGCGGGAUUCAAAAGGCAACAUUGUAAGGUAUAAGGCACGCAUAGUCGCAAAAGGUUUUACUCAAAAGGAAUGCAUUGAUUAUAAGGAGACCUUUUCACCGGUUUCAUCAAAUGACUCUUUUAGAAUCAUCAUGGCACUUGUGGCUCAUUAUGAUUUAGAGCUACAUCAAAUAGACGUUAAAACUGUGUUUCUUAAUGGUAACAUUGAUGAGACAAUAUACAUGGUGCAACUGGAGAACCUUGAGUUUAAUUAUUCAAAGCAACUUGUAUGCAAAUUAAAAAGGUCCAUAUAUGGUUUAAAAUAGGCAUCCUGACAAUGGUACCGAAAGUUUGAUCAGGUGAUUACUUCAUUUGGUUUUAAGGAGAACACCGUUGAUCAAUGCAUAUAUCUCAAGUUCAGUGAAAGCAAAUUCAUGAUCUUGGUGCUAUAUGUAGAUGAUAUUCUACUUGCAAGUAGUGAUGUGGAACUUUUGCAUGAAACCAUUUAUAUCCCGUAAAUUUGAAAUGAAGGAUCUUAGUAAUGCAUAUUUUAUGUUGGGCAUAUAGAUCUAUAGGGAUUGUUCAAGAGGUAUACUUGGGCUAUCACAAAAGUCCUACAUCGAUAAGGUGCUAAGUAGGUUUGGCAUGAGCAAUUGUGCACCAGGAGACACACCUAUGGCAAAAGGUGAUAAAUUUAGUUUGCACCAAUGUCCGAGAAAUGAACUUGAGAUGAAGGAUAUGGAGAGGUUUCCCUAUGCCUCGGCAAUAGGAAGCCUCAUGUAUGCACAAGUUUGUACGCGCCUAGAUAUUGCGUACAUUGUUGGAAUAUUGGGCAAAUAUUUGAGUAACCCAGGUAUGGAUCACUGGAAAAAAGCAAAACGGGUUAUGAGGUAUUUACAGAGAACUAAAGCUCACGUAUCGAAGAUCCAGUCAACUAGAGAUCGUGGGAUAUUCGAACUCCGAUUUCGCGGAAUGUCUUGACAAUAGGAGAUAUAAUUCAUGCUACGUUUUCAUGUUGGCUGGAGGAACAGUUUCAUGGAAAAGUGUUAAACAAACACCUAUUGCUUCUUCCACUAUGGAGGUGGAAUUCAUAGCCUGCUAUGAGGCAUCAAACCAUGGGAUAUGGCUACGGAAUUUUAUUACUGAGUUGUGUAUUGUUGAUGGGAUUGAAAAACCAUUGAGAAUCAAUUGUGAUAAUAAGGCCGUAGAAUUGUAUUCUAAGAACAACCGAAGUUCAUCAAAGUCCAAACACAUUAACAUCAAGUUCUUGGUUGUGAAAGAAAAAGUUUAGAGUCUUCAAGUAUCAAUUGACAACAUAAGCACAAACUCCAUGAUUGCGGAUCCACUCACUAAGGGUUUGCCACCCAAAGUAUUUCAUGAGCAUGUCACACGUAUGGGUGUUGUACAUAUUAAUGAUAUGCCAAUAUAAUGGGAGUUUGUAUUUGGGUUUUGUGUUUGUUUUCUUGAUGUAUUGUUAUGUUUGUGUUAUAUGUACAAACUUUAGUUUUAAAGACUAUUGUGUUUGAAUACUCUGAAUUGAAAUGAUGACUUUCAAAAACAGUUUAGAAUUAAGUGUUGAAAGUGGAAUUUGACUAUUUUUAGUCAUAAAGUAGAACCAACUGGAAAUAAACAUAUUAAAUAUCACAUUUUAUGUAAUUUCCAUGCUACACAUCCAUACUUGAUCCAUGUUGCUAAUUUUGUUAAUGUUGUGAUCAUUGAUGGGUCUAGUUAUAGUUAUGAUUAAUGAAUGCCAUUUUGAUCAUGUGUUAGCAUAAUUAGUAGAUCAGAUUGUUGAAGGAUAUUUGGAUAGGAUAGCAAAGAUGAGCUCAAUAAAGUAUUAUCAUGAACAUUAUUCAGUAAAUAUAUGUGGUCCAAGUGAGAGAUUGUUAAAAUAAUUAUGGACUCACAUAUAUUAAUAAUUGUUUAUGAUUAAACUAUCUAUAUAUAUAUUCAAUUUAUAUUUAUUAAGUAUGGGUCACCUUGUGUGUAGAGCCCAAGUCACAUGUGUCUUACAUGAUGGGCCUAAGACACAUGUGGCCCAACAACCCAAUGGGUAUGGUCCUUAAGGCAUAGAGGAAGUUAAUAAAAAAUAAAUAAAUAAACUGAAGUUUGGUGUCUUUUUAGUUUUCUUUUCUGAAAAAUACAAAAAUGUUCCCUCUCAUGUCUCCCAUCACAAGAGAGAAAAUAGAAAGGUGGUUUCCUCAUCUAUUGCCUUAGAAGAACCAUAUUUCUUCAAGAUCAACAAUGGAUUCAGGUUUGUCUACAUUCUCUAAUCUAAUCGGCAUGUUUUCUUUUUUAUUUAACAUGAGAUUUAUGGUUUUAGGUUGAUAAAAUAUUUGGUAAUCUUUAAAAAAUGUUCUACAACAACUAUAGCCUAAGCAUAUUUUCUCUGCAAAAGUUUAUUUGGUCCUUUACAAGGUUGGGAGAUUUGGAAUCGGCUUAUGCAACCUUGCAACAUAUGGUGACUUUGGUUUUCAAUGGAAGCGUCUUUAUCAAUAGAAGUGCUGAUGGAAAGUUGUAUUAUACCUAAGAAUGGUGAUGUGGGCUUGAAGAUAUUUAUGGAUGAAAAUGAACAUUCUUUACCUUCUGUCUCUGAUGAUAGAAAGAAAAUAGACACUCAUGCAAGUAAUGUUGAGGACUCUUAACUAUUUUUAAUAUGGGAAGUAAAGAAGAUAAGGGUUUUGGCAUGAAUAUGCUGGAAAUAUAUGUAUAAAGACAUGCCUGUUAUGAAGGUUUUCACUCUUGAGGUGAUCUUUCAGUGAUGUGAUACAUGUAUGUGCGCAUACUUAGAACUGUGCAUUGGCAUAACAGUUAAUCCUCCAAGUAGCACAACCUUUUUAUGUGAAGUCUUGAUUGUUUAUAUUAUUGUGACAUAUUCUUAAAUUAGCAGAAAAAACUAUAAACUAUGUUCAAAAAUUGCCUCAUUAAGAUGAGCUAAAGCUUGCAUGAUGGUGAUGUUGGAUUGUAAUGUCUAAAUCAAUUUUGUUAUACUUCAUUUGGGAUGCCAAGAGUCGAGCUCCCCAUUGAACACAUGGAGAUUGAGCCCCCUGUUGAACUCUCAGGGAUCAAGUUAUCAAAUUAGCUUACAAAGGUUAAAGAGGGUAGUGUCCCUUUGUGAAUUUUUUUAUGUGAUAAAUGAUGAGUUUGUCCAUAUUAUAUAUUUCAUCAUUUUAUAUUUUAGGGUUUUAUUUUUUAGAGAGUGCAGAUGCAAUUGAGAAAUGUUUUUCGAAAGCUUUACAAUUGUAACUCUUCUCAUUCAUUUUUAUUAAUAGAUUCUUAAGUGUUGAUACAUUUUGUGGAUAUAGGGAUCACAUUCAUCAUUGAACCACAUUAAAAUCUUGUUUUUUCUUUAUUUUUUGUUUGUAUAUAUGCGUAAUUUGGUUAACAAGUGAAAUUCCCAAAUUAUGGUAAGAUAUCGCUGAAAAUUAUAUUUUCUUAUGGGCGCAAGUCAAAAUUAGGUGUGAAACAAUGGUUGUUAAAGGCACACAAGGCUUUGAGGUGCCACCACUCCCUAACUAUAGUGCUUGGCUAUUCUCCCUAUUUGGUAAUGUGAAUGUGCCAUAUGAUGAGGGAAAUAUGUUGUCACAAGUGGAUGUUGCUAAAAGGAUAAAUGCUAUAGAAACGAAUAUGAUGAAUAAUGGCAUUCAGCACAAUCAUUUAUCAAUGAAGAACUUGGUAUGCCCCUAUUUUAUGUUCCCUGUUUAUUUUUAUUUUCUUCCCCUAUAAAUUUGUACAAUAUUGCAUCAACAAUGAAAUCAUACUAAGAUUAAACUUCUUUCUUUUUUUCUUUUUUCACUUCAAUCUCUUUGAAUAUGCCAAAGAGAUUUCAUUAUUUUUAUCAUAACCAAGUAUAAAAAUAUAGAGAAAGGCUUAUUCAAAAAUGAUAAUGAUAGUUUUUCAUAUGUUUAAUAAUCAAUUAAAUGACAUUUGAACAUAAGACAAUUAAAAUUAAUCUAAUUAAUCAUUAAAGUUAUUUAUGGAUGUAUUAAAAAAAUGUAGAAUAUAUAAAUAUUUUAGGCAUAUAUAUCACAAGGGCAAAUUUGUCUUUAAUAGUUUAGUGUUAUGUACUCCUUUCACAUGAAAGAAUUGAGUUUGACUCCUAACAUUCCUCUUUACUUUUUGCAGGAAGUGUUAACUACAUUUUCCUAGCAAAAUCGAUUUUUCUUAUCUUUUUUCAUAUCAAUAGGGCUCGAGAUCUUAAUAUUUCCCUUAAACUCAUUGAAAAUCAACAAAAUUUCAAUCCAUAACUCAUACUCAAAAUGGUUUACCUGAAUCUUUUUUCAAACAUCUUAAAUGAUUGUUUGAUCAUUGCUUUUAAGUAUGCAACUACCUCUCUUUUUUUUAGGAUAUGUUAUACUUCAUAUUGAUGUUUUACCUCACUUUUAACUCUCUGCUUACCAUGAAUACUUAUCUUUAUACCUUGCACUUAAUCAACAACCAAAUAUUUCUCACUUAUGAGUUUUUGGUUGAACUAACCAUGGCCCACUGCUCUUUCUCAAAGAACUAGGAUGGUUCCCUAAAGAUGUCUUGAGAAUAGUUGAGAUUUAUAUUGGUCUGAUUAUCCAUACCCCCAUUACAUCUUAUGGAUAAUGUUUUUAUGGUUCACUUUGUGAAUUGUCAUUUUGAUGAGAAAAAAAAAAAUUCACCAUGAGGGGAAAUGACGUUAAUCCUUAAAAAACAAUGACAUUCAUAACUAGUAAGAGUGGAGUACAACCUAAUUUCGAUUAAUAGUGACACCAUAGUCUCAAAUUGGAGAAAAAGAUUUGAAUUAGUGAUGGAUAGAUAAACAAAGAUAUAGGCUUCCUUCAAUAGGAAAUAAGAAAUAAUUAUUCUAACUAAUAUUUUAUUCAUAAAUACUAUUUAUAUAUAGAAAAAAAUUAAACAUGGAUUAAGGAGCUAAAAAAUCCUAAUUAUACUUGUUAAAAAGCAUGAUAUAUAUUGUAAGUCUAAAUCUUGCAAGCUUAAACUUUUUAAAAAAUUGAUAGUUUAACAUGAUAUUAGAGUUUGCCAAAAGGUCAAGGUAAUUCAACAAUACUUAAUUAAUUCAUUCUUUGAUUCAUGAUUAAGGAAAAGUCUACAAGAGGAAGACCAUAUUCAUAAAGACCACAUUCAUACAUAUUCAUGAUAUUAGAGUUUGACAAGAGAUCAUGGUAAUUCAACAAUACUUAAUUAAUUCACUCUUUUAUUCAUGAGUAAGGAAAAGUCUACAAGAGAAAGACCAUAUUCAUGUAUAUAAUUCACUACUUUAUUCAUGAUUAAGGAAAAGUUUACAAGAGAAAGACCAUAUUCGUAUAUAUAUAAUAGAAAAUUAUAAACCAUUAAUAUCAUAAAGGUUCCAAGAGAACCUUGUACAUCUAUUGUAAACCAAUAUCAUAAAGGUUUCAAGAGAACCUUGUACAUCUAUCGUCUUAUAUAUGAUUUUGAUAUAUAGUACAGAUAAUUAUAUCAAACUUUGAGUCUCAUCUAUGCUUAUUACAAUCAUUGAUGCUUUUUUGAAAUGUUGAUAUGUAAACCAUUUCCAAAU